Molecule: long non-coding RNA, 364 nt
Organism: Pezoporus occidentalis (night parrot)
Lineage: Eukaryota; Metazoa; Chordata; Aves; Psittaciformes; Psittacidae
Exons: 2
Source: RefSeq, a predicted model, not a curated record
UAUGAGUUUGCCUCGGAGCUCAGGCAUGCCAGGCACGCCGGAUCUCCCGCCGCGAUGGCCGCGCACAGGGCGCGCAGGCAGGCAGCGGCACCACAGCCCGCACCACGCGCGCUGCCGGCACUCCGAGCUGUGCUUCGCGCAAGGAUGUGGAAAAACCUGGCCAUGUGUAAAUUCAGAAAGCCUCAGGUCCUCAGUGGGCCUGCAGGAUAGGGCACCUUCCAGAACCAGCAGCGAGCCUGCUGCCGGACUCUUUCUGAUGCAUCCGUUUAGACCGAGUUUACUUCCCUUAAUUUUGCAAUAAAUGAAAGUAAACUUAUCAGCAUAAAAUGAGAAUGAUUUGAAUAAAACAAGUUACAAAAAGGCA